Molecule: ribosomal RNA, 449 nt
Filed under: uncultured bacterium
Lineage: Bacteria
Description: partial 16S ribosomal RNA
Rfam family: Bacterial small subunit ribosomal RNA
Source: RNAcentral
GUGGGGAAUCUUCCGCAAUGGACGAAAGUCUGACGGAGCGACGCCGCGUGAGUGAUGAAGGCCUUCGGGUCGUAAAGCUCUGUCAUCGGGGACGAACGGCCUCAGCAGGUAAUGGCUGGGGAUUGACGGUACCCGAGAAGGAAGCCACGGCUAACUACGUGCCAGCAGCCGCGGUAAUACGUAGGUGGCAAGCGUUGUCCGGAAUUAUUGGGCGUAAAGCGCGCGCAGGUGGGAUCUUAAGUCCAUUUUGAAAGUUCGGAGCUCAACUCCGUGAUGGGAUGGAAACUGGGAUUCUUGAGUACCGGAGAGGAAAGCGGAAUUCCCCGUGUAGCGGUGAAAUGCGUAGAUAUGGGGAGGAACACCAGUGGCGAAGGCGGCUUUCUGGACGGUGUCUGACACUGAGGCGCGAAAGCCAGGGGAGCGAACGGGAUUAGAAACCCCUGUAGUCC